CCUACGGGUGGCAGCAGUGAGGAAUAUUGGUCAAUGGACGAGAGUCUGAACCAGCCAAGUAGCGUGAAGGAUGACUGCCCUAUGGGUUGUAAACUUCUUUUAUAUGGGAAUAAAACGUUCCACGUGUGGGAUUUUGUAUGUACCAUAUGAAUAAGGAUCGGCUAACUCCGUGCCAGCAGCCGCGGUACUACGGAGGAUCCGAGCGUUAUCCGGAUUUAUUGGGUUUAAAGGGAGCGUAGGUGGAUUGUUAAGUCAGUUGUGAAAGUUUGCGGCUCAACCGUAAAAUUGCAGUUGAAACUGGCAGUCUUGAGUACAGUAGAGGUGGGCGGAAUUCGUGGUGUAGCGGUGAAAUGCUUAGAUAUCACGAAGAACUCCGAUUGCGAAGGCAGUUCACUGGACUGCAACUGACACUGAGGCUCGAAAGUGUGGGUAUCAAACAGGAUUAGAUACCCCUGUAGUC
This 460-nucleotide ribosomal RNA is filed under the name uncultured bacterium. RNAcentral's name for it is "partial 16S ribosomal RNA". It matches the Rfam family "Bacterial small subunit ribosomal RNA", at positions 338 to 795 of the family's 1533-position model. The record is from RNAcentral.